Molecule: long non-coding RNA, 870 nt
Organism: Monodelphis domestica (gray short-tailed opossum)
Lineage: Eukaryota; Metazoa; Chordata; Mammalia; Didelphimorphia; Didelphidae
Source: RefSeq, a predicted model, not a curated record
CGGGCUCGGAGAAGGGGGAGGGGACGUGGGGCGGAGCCGAGCGCUAGACCACCCCUCCCCAUGCCCCGCCCCAGCAGGUGUAGGAAGAAGAACCCAGAGGGGCUAGGGAAGGUAGCCUGGCCCCCAAGGAACCUUAUUCAAGGAAGGAACCCCGACAAGUGUCCACCGUUCGCCCUCAGACGGAACCUACGAGGCCAGUGCUCCGCAGGGACCUCGGGCUCCACAUACACCCCUUUGACACCCUUUCCUCCCUCACGCACACACUUGCUCCUCCGAACAUCUAGAGGGAUUCCAUUCUCGCUUCCAGGCACACAGAAGCUUAUAAAUUCUCGGCAUACAUGCGCUUACGGGAUGUAGCGGAACAUGUAUAGGGCAACGCACAGAUGGAGCAUUCACCUGUGCACAGGCAGGACCAUCCAUCCGGAUCAGAACACGGAGCAGGAAUCCUGGGAUUCAAGGUUCCAAUGAUCAGUUUGUAUUUAUGGAACUUACCUGUGAAAAGCACAUUCCAAGAUUGGCAUGAAAUCUGACUUCACUCAGAGAGAUUCCGGACAUUAAGCCAUCCUGAUUGAUCUUCUCUGGCAAUGAAAAAGGAAACUGAGUCUCAGAGGAAGAAAGACUUGCCCAAUAUCACGUGGAAUCCCUGCCCACUGCUCUUUCCAUUACUCCCAGCUUCCUAUCUAUGGUCCUCUCCCCAUCUGCUGAAGCCCCAGCUUUCCUGGCCAUCCAGACUGCAGUUUCUACAGCCUCAGCUAAAGAAGAAUUCUCAGUGCUAUAGAUUUAGGGACGAAAUAUGUUCCCGGCAUCCCCAUGUAAAAUGACUCUCCCCCACUCCACACAAGUGUUAUUUAAAACAAAAUUGGGAGUCGA